RNAcentral lists this ribosomal RNA (301 nucleotides) under uncultured bacterium. RNAcentral's name for it is "partial 16S ribosomal RNA". It matches the Rfam family "Bacterial small subunit ribosomal RNA", at positions 509 to 807 of the family's 1533-position model. The record is from RNAcentral.
CAGCAGCCACGGUAAUACGAAGGGUGCAAGCGUUACUCGGAAUUACUGGGCGUAAAGCGUGCGUAGGUGGUGGUUUAAGUCCGUUGUGAAAGCCCUGGGCUCAACCUGGGAAUUGCAGUGGAUACUGGGUCACUAGAGUGUGGCAGAGGAUAGUGGAAUUUCCGGUGUAGCAGUGAAAUGCGUAGAGAUCGGAAGGAACAUCUGUGGCGAAGGCGACUAUCUGGGCCAACACUGACACUGAGGCACGAAAGCGUGGGGAGCAAACAGGAUUAGAUACCCCCGUAGUCCCUGUCUCUUAUAC